RNAcentral lists this ribosomal RNA (450 nucleotides) under uncultured bacterium. Its description in RNAcentral is "bacterial SSU rRNA". It matches the Rfam family "Bacterial small subunit ribosomal RNA", at positions 340 to 787 of the family's 1533-position model. The record is from RNAcentral.
UACGGAAGGCAGCAGUAGGGAAUAUUGGGCAAUGGCCGAGAGGCUGACCCAGCCAUGCCGCGUGCAGGAUGAAGGCUUUUCUGAGUCGUAAACUGCUUUUGCCAGGGAGAAAAAAGGGCGUGCGCGCUCUACUGACGGUACCUGGUGAAUAAGCACCGGCUAACUCCGUGCCAGCAGCCGCGGUAAUACGGAGGGUGCAAGCGUUGUCCGGAUUUAUUGGGUUUAAAGGGUGCGUAGGCGGCCGUUUUAAGUCUGGGGUGAAAGCCCGUUGCUCAACAACGGAACUGCCCUGGAAACUGGAUGGCUUGAGUACAGACGAGGGUGGCGGAAUGGAUGCUGUAGCGGUGAAAUGCAUAGAUAGCAUCCAGAACCCGAUUGCGAAGGCAGCUGCCUAGACUGUAACUGACGCUGAGGCACGAAAGCGUGGGGAGCGAACAGGAUUAGAAUACC